AAAAAAAAACCUUGCGUGGGGGCGUAUGUGUUUGGAGUAAAAGUGGGCUUGGUUAAAUUUGGUUUUCCCAAAAACAAAACCAACCAAAAAAAAAAAAAAACACUUUGUUUGUACACGCGCACUCUGCAGGACGAUACCAAGUGCAACUGUUGCAGGGGUGCCAGAAUCCGCUCAAGUUUACGACUUCCACGCUCGGAGCCCACAACAACUUAAAUCAAAGCUCGUUGCCUUUCUUUGAGCUAUUUUGCUGUUUCAAAGUGUCGACGUGGGUUUCCGCGUGACGCGCAUGGAACCUCCCGCUCGUCAAACACUUGCACGACAUUAUGUCACAAAGAGUUCACCCGCCGAACAUCAAAGUUAUUUCAAAAACAAUCCAACCGACCUGAACAAAUGUCAUUUGAAUACAUGAAAAGACGGCAUCAUCAAUGUGCCCCAUUUUGAAUAUAUUUGUAUUUAUUAUCAUCGACCGCAAAAUGAUACAGGAUUAACAGAGGUGUGAAUGUCCAUCCAUCCCUUCUCCUCACGCGGGUCGCGGGAGCCUUGAAACGCUGGACCCCUGGAACGCUGGAGCCCACCCCAGCCAUCCUCGGGCAGGAGGCGCCGCUUCAGGUUUUCAGGUGGAGAUUUGAAUAACAACAAAGUCGCAUGUGCCCUCCCGCUGCCACCCCUUAGCAUGCAGCAUAGAAGCGUGGAAUGCCUUCCUACUUCUCGCGCUUCGGUCGACUGUGCUUGUGGCUCGUUGCAGUCUACAAAGGCUUAAAUGGUAUAGCAGACCAGACCAAUGAUAACAAGAUUGCGGGUAACAUGAACUCACAGCAGGGUGGUCCCGGCCCAGCGUCUUCUCCCUGAUGGCCAGAGCGUCAUUCAGCAGAAUCUCUUUUGAGACCGACCUGUAGACGAGGGCCAAGAUGUUGAGCAUGGUGGCCACGUCGGGGUGGUCGUGGCCCGACGUCUUCUCCAGGUCCUCCAGGGCCUGCUUGCAGAGCGGCACGGCCACCUCGUAGCGGC
Phyllopteryx taeniolatus (common seadragon) is the source of this 1008-nucleotide long non-coding RNA. RefSeq lists it as uncharacterized. NCBI's taxonomy places the organism in Eukaryota, Metazoa, Chordata, Actinopteri, Syngnathiformes, Syngnathidae. The record is from RefSeq and is a predicted model, not a curated record. The transcript has 4 exons.